RNAcentral lists this ribosomal RNA (230 nucleotides) under Candidatus Nitrosopumilus sp. Its description in RNAcentral is "Nitrosopumilus sp. partial 23S ribosomal RNA". It matches the Rfam family "Archaeal large subunit ribosomal RNA", at positions 2765 to 2987 of the family's 2987-position model. The record is from RNAcentral. Lineage: Archaea; Thermoproteati; Nitrososphaerota; Nitrososphaeria; Nitrosopumilales; Nitrosopumilaceae.
GAGCAGCGUGGCCACUGGUUUACCGGUUGUCUGAUAAGGCAGGCCGGGCAGCUAAGCCGUUUAGGCUAAGUGCUGAAAGCAUCUAAGCACGAAUCCUAUCCCGAGACAAGUUAUUCUUUCGUAAGAUGAAGGUCGGCAGCAGAAGACUGCGUUGAUAGGAAGGUGGUGUAGAUCACAAGCUUCGGCGAGUGAUGAGCCAGCCUUUACUAAUAGACCAACAUAACGGUUCA